AGAGAAUAGAUACCCUGGUAGUCCACGCCGUAAACGAUGGAUGCUAGCUGUUAUCAGUAUCGACCCUGGUAGUAGCGAAGCUAACGCGUUAAGCAUCCCGCCUGGGGAGUACGGUCGCAAGAUUAAAACUCAAAGGAAUUGACGGGGACCCGCACAAGCGGUGGAGCGUGUUGUUUAAUUCGACGCUAAGCGAAGAACCUUACCAAGGUUUGACAUCUCGGGAAAGUCUCCGAAAGGAGACCGUGCCUUCGGGAACCCGAUGACAGGUGUUGCAUGGCCGUCGUCAGCUCGUGUCGUGAGAUGUUUGGUUAAGUCCAUCAACGAGCGCAACCCUUGUAGUCUGUUGUAUUUCUCAGGCUAGACUGCCCGGUAACGGGGUAGGAAGGAGGGAUGAUGUCAGGUCAGUAUUACCCUUACACCUUGGGCCACAAACACGCUACAAUGGCCGAUACAAAGGGCUGCCAAGCAGCAAUGCGGAGCAAAUCCCAUCAAAGUCGGUCUCAGUUCGGAUUGUUGGCUG
RNAcentral lists this ribosomal RNA (520 nucleotides) under uncultured bacterium. Its description in RNAcentral is "bacterial SSU rRNA". It matches the Rfam family "Bacterial small subunit ribosomal RNA", at positions 774 to 1307 of the family's 1533-position model. The record is from RNAcentral.